RNAcentral lists this unclassified non-coding RNA (462 nucleotides) under Hevea brasiliensis (rubber tree). The record is from RNAcentral. Lineage: Eukaryota; Viridiplantae; Streptophyta; Magnoliopsida; Malpighiales; Euphorbiaceae.
AUAAAUACUUUGAUCAACAAAGACGCCAUGAAAUCAAUAGAAAUCGCUUAGAAUUGCCGCGUAUAGCAUCUGGAAGAGAGAGAACAGGACAUAGGGGAAGAAGCUUAUCACCUGGCAGAGAGAUACAAGGACACAAGGGAAGAACAGGCUCAUCGGGUGGACGGGAUAGCAGAAUUGACAGAAAGACAAAAGGAUAUACGAAUAAGGGAAGAUGCUCAUCAUGCGGACGAUAUCCUAGCAAUCGCGGAAUCAUAAAGGGAUAUGUGGGAACGAACACUUCAAUGAUCUUGUUUAAAACUGGAAUCAAAGUUCUCGAAAUUAUCUUUUCGGUUAUUUUGGGAGUUCCGAUCCCUCCGAUUAUGUCUGCUGCUUAUUAUUUUGCCACUAUAUUAUUUUCAACUUAAUGUGCUUUAUUGUUUCAAGUCUAUAUGUGAAACCUGCUUGGCGAAGUGGUAAUAAGUU